Molecule: transfer RNA, 71 nt
Filed under: Pedetontinus luanchuanensis
Lineage: Eukaryota; Metazoa; Arthropoda; Insecta; Archaeognatha; Machilidae
Description: tRNA-Met
Rfam family: tRNA
About the family: Transfer RNA (tRNA) molecules are approximately 80 nucleotides in length. Their secondary structure includes four short double-helical elements and three loops (D, anti-codon, and T loops).
Source: RNAcentral
AUAAAAGUAAGCUAAAUAUAAGCUACUGGGUUCAUACCCCAUUUAUGAGAGUUACACCCUCUUCUUUUUUA